Molecule: non-coding RNA, 1470 nt
Organism: Rattus norvegicus (Norway rat)
Lineage: Eukaryota; Metazoa; Chordata; Mammalia; Rodentia; Muridae
Source: RefSeq, a predicted model, not a curated record
CAUAUUAUUUUCUUCACAUUCAGGUUUUCUCCAUCGUUUCUAUUUAAAAAAAAAUGAAAAACACAUUAGUAAGAUUUUGCUAGAUUUAUUUGGAGGGAGUUUAAGACAGGGUUCCUCUGUGUAGCCCUGGCCGUCCUGGAAUUCAUGCUGUAGACAAGACUGGCCUCAAACUCAGGGAUCCAUCUGCCUCUGCCUCCCAAGUGCUGGGGUUAAAGGUGUGCACCAUCACAUCCAGCUUAAGAUUUUAUUAAUCACUUAUCAGAAGAAGAACUAUCAACUCUCUUCCCUAUUGAGGUCUUUGAGCAUGUCUAGACUGGCGGCUUCACCACACGGAUUGAGGACAACUAUCACAACGGCCCUCAUGAAUGAUUCUGUUAUACUCCCUCCAGGCUAGCAAACACUGAAAGCCUAUGCCACAUUUAUAUACAUACAGUUAGUCACUCUGUUCCACAGUCCUAGUUUGAGUGCUUUCUGAGGACUGGAACUAGGUAUUCUAUAAGAGUAGCAAGUACUCUUAACCACUAAACAAGUUUUCAAGCUCCAGAAAAUUUAUUUUUCAUAUAAUCCUUGUAUCCAUAUUUAGCAGAUAAUUCGAUCUGUGAGUCCUAUGCUGGGAAUGAAAUCUGUAUAUACGAAUAUGAUUUUUAAAAGUGUCACUUCCUGCUGGAUUUUGUAUCCACGAAUUGAAUCCUAACACUUAUCCUAACACUUGCAAGGCAGAGGCAGCUGGAUCUUUAUGACUUUGUUCUACGUAGUCAAUUCCAGGCAAGACAGGUAUACAGUGUGAGACCCUGUCUCAAAACAAACAAACAAACAAACAAACAAACAAACAAACAAACAAACCACCUGUGUUUACGGGGGUUUGGGACAGGGAGGUCUGAUGCUAAGGUCCUUUCCCCCAAUUGGUUCUCGAUCUGUCAGUAAAGAAGCUAUGGACCAAUUGCUCGGUGGAAGGGAUAGGCGGGACUUCCUGUUCCCGAGAGGCAAGCCAACAGAUUCAAGGGAGGAAAGGAGCUGAGGCAGGAGCUCCAGGCGGGAACCCGGAAGUGAAGUGGAAACCAAGAUGGAAUGCUGCUUACUGGAUUGUUACCAGGCAAUCCCUGUGAAAGGUUGACCCCCAAAGGCAUCGAAGCCCAUGGAUUGAGAACCUCUGAUAUAAACAGAUAGAGCCUAACUCCUAAUGCCAUUGUGCCUCAUGCCAAAGAAACAAUUUCUGAGAGGACAGUGGCACCAUAUAUUUAUUACUUCAAGUGAGUGAACAGUCAGCUUAAAAUGUCACUUCAAUUCAACCCAACUCAAGUGGUGCAAGACAAGGCCAGUGACACUGUCACCUUCUGUAAAAGGCCCCAUCCCCUUCUCAUGGGCACAGCUUUCUUCUUUCCUUAAAAAUUUGCCAAGGGUGUCUCUGGCCACGAUGUCUUUUUUCUCCCAGCAGCAUCUACUUUUAUUAAAAUGUAUUUAUCACACCAA